Molecule: ribosomal RNA, 646 nt
Filed under: Dietzia sp. PLB123
Lineage: Bacteria; Bacillati; Actinomycetota; Actinomycetes; Mycobacteriales; Dietziaceae
Description: bacterial SSU rRNA
Rfam family: Bacterial small subunit ribosomal RNA
Source: RNAcentral
AAACUGGGUCUAAUACCGGAUAUGAGCUCCUGCCGCAUGGUGGGGGUUGGAAAGUUUUUCGGUGCAGGAUGAGUCCGCGGCCUAUCAGCUUGUUGGUGGGGUAAUGGCCUACCAAGGCGACGACGGGUAGCCGGCCUGAGAGGGUGAUCGGCCACACUGGGACUGAGACACGGCCCAGACUCCUACGGGAGGCAGCAGUGGGGAAUAUUGCACAAUGGGCGGAAGCCUGAUGCAGCGACGCCGCGUGGGGGAUGACGGUCUUCGGAUUGUAAACUCCUUUCAGUAGGGACGAAGCGAGAGUGACGGUACCUGCAGAAGAAGCACCGGCCAACUACGUGCCAGCAGCCGCGGUAAUACGUAGGGUGCAAGCGUUGUCCGGAAUUACUGGGCGUAAAGAGCUCGUAGGCGGUUUGUCACGUCGUCUGUGAAAUCCUCCAGCUCAACUGGGGGCGUGCAGGCGAUACGGGCAGACUUGAGUACUACAGGGGAGACUGGAAUUCCUGGUGUAGCGGUGAAAUGCGCAGAUAUCAGGAGGAACACCGGUGGCGAAGGCGGGUCUCUGGGUAGUAACUGACGCUGAGGAGCGAAAGCAUGGGGAGCAAACAGGAUUAGAUACCCUGGUAGUCCAUGCCGUAACCUUUAGGGG